Molecule: long non-coding RNA, 761 nt
Organism: Fundulus heteroclitus (mummichog)
Lineage: Eukaryota; Metazoa; Chordata; Actinopteri; Cyprinodontiformes; Fundulidae
Exons: 3
Source: RefSeq, a predicted model, not a curated record
UGCAAACGUUUUGUUUGAAUACUCAAUAACGUAUAGUUAAUUUACAGUACAGUAUAAUAAGGUUUAAAGUAUAAUUCACUUGAAGAACAACACCGGCGUAAUUAUACAGAACAGUCAUUUUGCCUGUUAACAUAACAGAAAUAUGCUUUACAUAUCAUUUUGUUCUAGGGAGCAGGGAGCAUACAGAGGAGUUGAUAAAACUCCGUGGGCAAAAUGACCAUCUCUUUACCGGGGCCAAAACACUGCCGCAGUCGGAUGGAGAACAAUCCUGCAAAAAAUGGGCCUGGAGGGUAAAGUUGAGCCACAACAGGCCAAAAAAAAAGUGGGACAACUUGCAAAAAAAAAUACAAAGAAUGCAAAGAUCCAGGGACAGGACAGGAGGUCAGUGGGAAGCCUACUGCUGCCACCUGGCCAUGGUUUGUCCUCAUGGAUGAGGUAUUAGGACAGAGGCCCUCUAUUGCCCCACCUGUCCUAAUUGCCUCCAUCCCUGAGAGCCAGGUGCUGCAUAGGCUGAGCAGCAUCAGGGGGAAGAUGAGGAAGAGAAUGAGGAUGAGAGGCCAGGAGAGAGGAAGGAAAGAAGGAAGAGAAGUAGGAGUGACGAGUUGGUGGAUUUAAUCAGGGAGGAUAUCAGAUGGCAGAGGGAGGCGGAGGAGAGAAGAGAAAGAGAGAGUCGGGAAAGGAUGGACAGAUUAUUUGAUUUAUUGGAGAGGAUGGUGGACAGACGUACAUUUUUGUUGGUGUUUUUUUUUUACAAGUUCAGG